UACGGAGGGUGCAAGCGUUAUUCGGAAUUAUUGGGCGUAAAGGGCGCGUAGGCGGUCUCUAAAGUCAGAUGUGAAAGCCCGGGGCUUAACCCCGGAAGUGCAUUUGAAACUCAGAGACUUGAGUAUGGGAGAGGGAAGUGGAAUUCCUGGUGUAGCGGUGAAAUGCGUAGAUAUCAGGAGGAACACCAGUGGCGAAGGCGACUUCCUGGACCAAUACUGACGCUGAGGCGCGAAGGCGUGGGGAGCAAACAGG
RNAcentral lists this ribosomal RNA (253 nucleotides) under uncultured bacterium. RNAcentral describes it as "partial 16S ribosomal RNA". It matches the Rfam family "Bacterial small subunit ribosomal RNA", at positions 524 to 776 of the family's 1533-position model. The record is from RNAcentral.